This 253-nucleotide ribosomal RNA is filed under the name uncultured bacterium. Its description in RNAcentral is "partial 16S ribosomal RNA". It matches the Rfam family "Bacterial small subunit ribosomal RNA", at positions 524 to 776 of the family's 1533-position model. The record is from RNAcentral.
UACGGAGGGAGCUAGCGUUGUUCGGAAUUACUGGGCGUAAAGCGCACGUAGGCGGCUUUGUAAGUUAGAGGUGAAAGCCUGGGGCUCAACCCCGGAAUUGCCUUUAAGACUGCAUCGCUUGAAUCCAGGAGAGGUGAGUGGAAUUCCGAGUGUAGAGGUGAAAUGCGUAGAUAUUCGGAAGAACACCAGUGGCGAAGGCGGCUCACUGGACUGGUAUUGACGCUGAGGUGCGAAAGCGUGGGGAGCAAACAGG